Sander lucioperca (pikeperch) is the source of this 350-nucleotide long non-coding RNA. RefSeq lists it as uncharacterized. The transcript is spliced from 2 exons. The record is from RefSeq and is a predicted model, not a curated record. NCBI's taxonomy places the organism in Eukaryota, Metazoa, Chordata, Actinopteri, Perciformes, Percidae.
GGCAGGGAUCAGAAUAAGGGAGAGACCAGAGAAGAGUAGGACAAGUCAGAGAAAGGAAGAGACCAGAGUAGGACAACUCAGAGAAGAGUAGGACAAGUCAGAGAAAGGAAGAGACCAGAGUAGGACAGCUCAGAGACAAGUCAGAGAAAGGAAGAGACCAGAGUAGGACAACUCAGAGAAAAGGAGAGACCAGAGAAGAGUAGGACAAGUCAGAGAAAGGAAGAGACCAGAGUAGGACAACUCAGAGAAAAGUAGGACAAGUCAGAGAAAGGAAGAGACCAGAGUAGGACAACUCAGAGAAAAGUAGGACAAGUCAGAGAAAGGAAGAGACCAGAGUAGGACAACUCAGA